CAGUAGCCGCGGGAAUACGGAGGGUGCAAGCGUUAAUCGGAAUUACUGGGCGUAAAGCGUGCGUAGGCGGUUUGUUAAGUCUGAUGUGAAAGCCCCCGGCUCAACCGGGGAGGGUCAUUGGAAACUGGGAAACUUGAGUGCAGAAGAGGAGAGUGGAAUUCCACGUGUAGCGGUGAAAUGCGUAGAGAUGUGGAGGAACACCAGUGGCGAAGGCGACUCUCUGGUCUGUAACUGACGCUGAGGAGCGAGAGCGUGGGGAGCGAACAGGAUUAGAUACCCGUGUAGUCCCUGUCUCUUAUAC
Molecule: ribosomal RNA, 301 nt
Filed under: uncultured bacterium
Lineage: Bacteria
Description: partial 16S ribosomal RNA
Rfam family: Bacterial small subunit ribosomal RNA
Source: RNAcentral